Molecule: non-coding RNA, 319 nt
Organism: Oncorhynchus mykiss (rainbow trout)
Lineage: Eukaryota; Metazoa; Chordata; Actinopteri; Salmoniformes; Salmonidae
Source: RefSeq, a predicted model, not a curated record
AACAUCUUGUGGUGUUGUUGAGUUGUCUCAUAAACUGAAUAUGAGAAUCCAAAGUAUUGCCAGUCUCAACUGUGUAGUAUUUCAACUCGUGUGCUACUUAGACAAGAAAGAGAAAAGUCAAAAAGUCUUUCACAGUAUCCGGCUCUAGAGUACUUCACCACCUCACUCCUUCCACUGGACCACAUGAUUUCUUGGAAUUAGAAAGUGAAAACAAUGUGUUAUUGUAAAUGGACUUACUGACUCAGUUCUAUUCUACAUUCAUAGAAUUACUCAUGUAAAAAACAUUCCAUUAAAUUCUGCACUACCAGUUUCUACUUAA